Molecule: ribosomal RNA, 253 nt
Filed under: uncultured bacterium
Lineage: Bacteria
Description: partial 16S ribosomal RNA
Rfam family: Bacterial small subunit ribosomal RNA
Source: RNAcentral
UACGAAGGGGGCUAGCGUUGCUCGGAAUCACUGGGCGUAAAGCGCACGUAGGCGGCUUUUUAAGUCAGGGGUGAAAUCCUGGAGCUCAACUCCAGAACUGCCUUUGAUACUGAGAAGCUUGAGUCCGGGAGAGGUGAGUGGAACUGCGAGUGUAGAGGUGAAAUUCGUAGAUAUUCGCAAGAACACCAGUGGCGAAGGCGGCUCACUGGCCCGGUACUGUCGCUGAGGUGCGAAAGCGUGGGGAGCAAACAGG